UCCUGCCUCCCGGCCCCCCCCCACCUACCGCAGCGCUGAGGCGGCGCGGCGCUUCCCGCGCUCGAGCUGAGGGCGGAGGAGCGGCCGCCAUCUUGGAAGCGGCAUGGCGCUGUCCGAGCCUCCGUUCUCCCGCAGCGCCGGGGCUAGGCGAGCAGCUGGAGGCGGUGCUGAGUGGAAACCGCGGGCUCGGGCAGCUCUGAGAGGAUUUUGUUUUAUCCUCUGAGCUGUGUAACCGUGAAAAUGUAUUUCUGAGCUGAAGUUACAUCAUGUGUCAUUACCGUAAGAAUGUGGACUGCUGUAAGAAGUGCCCUGCAGAAGAGGAAGACUGGAGAUGUUAGCGAGCACCAGGGAUGACCUGCAGUGUGGGUUAUGCAAAUUGCUGCAGCCAGCAGGAGAAGGGCUGUUGUCUGUCUGCGGUGGCAAAAGCGAUGUUCUGCUUGAAACAAAACAGUGAUUUUCUCUCAUCUACACAUAAUGCUUCCUUCUCCUUCAUUUUUGCUCCCCAUUGUUGACAGAUGUUCCUCAUGCAGUAGUCAUAGAAAGAUACUUUCAGUUUGGUUGCUCUCUAGUGAACAGAUAUGAAGCUCUAUACCAGCUCUGUAAUGAAAAACAUCUUAAAUUAAAAUGAUUAUUGAUUUUUAAUCCAGCUUUGUGUUUUCAGUUGUCUUUGCAACAAAAGUUGGUGUGAUGCCAAUGUCUCUUUCCAUUGCAGAGCAGUGUAAAUAGUAAAUAGUUAAUUCUGCUUUGGCAUUUGGAUAAAAGAAGUGGUAAAUAAAAUGUUUGGAAGCAGGUUGUGCUUAUUUACUAAAACACAUUCCUGGAGCCUAGCAACAAAUGAAUAUUAAUGCUGGAAUUGAGUACUUUAUCUUUUGUAAUAUAAUUUAUUUUAUUAAUGAGUUAAUUAGUAGAAACUUAAGAAUGGAUUACCUAGUUGUAUUAGCAAAAGCAACUUGUUGUGAUAGGGCAAAGUGAAUGCAAAGUCAGCUAGCAGUGUUAUGCUCUUAAAAAUACUAAAAAUAACAAAGGUGUGCUGGGCUGUCAGCAUUAGCUUCAUCUAAACUAUUGAUGUUAUUACCGAGCAUUUAGUGAGAGUACUGCUAAUUAUUUUCCUCUUUUUUUUUUUUUUGGAAAAUAAAUGUUGCAGCAGGAGUUGAGAAGGCAAAAGUGCAAUGUGCUGAAGUUCAUUCCAAAAGCGAACAGUUAUAUUUAUCUAGGACAUAGUGAGUAAAGCAAUGAAGAAUGGUGGCAUAAUCCCAAUAAAACUGAGCAACAUACCAUGAUGGCAGUAGGAAAUUAAUCUUGUAAAAUAUUUUUCAAUGUCUUUCAGUAAGAACCUCACUCAGUAAAGACAUCUGGGUCAGAUUCUGUUACUAUCCUACUGAUUCAGACAAUCCUGGCUCCUUGUUAGCUUUUGCUUUACUGAGAAUGGCCUAUGAGUGCCUUCUAACUUCAAAGCAAUAAUCGCAGAUGAAUUAAUCAGGUAAAGAGAAUGAUCACCUGGAACAAGUUUGUUGUGUUGUAAUGCUAUUAAUGAUUUCAUCAAUGACCUAGAAAAAAAAAAAGAAGUAUAACUGCUAGUAAAACUAGUAGAUUUUUUUCAAGUGAAUUUGAUAUUGACUUUAAUAAUAAUUAAUCUCUGCAAUCCUAAUUAGUUGGUAAAUUAAAUGGUUGUCCACAUCACUUUGCAGCCAAAUGUGCUGAAGGUAAGAAUCCAACCUGGACCUUAAUUCUUCAGGGUGUGGAAACUGCUGGGAAGGAAAGGUCUGGUACUUGCCAGAGCAAAGUUAGUGACUUUGCACAGUUCUUUGCAAUGAAGCUUCCUCCAUGCUGAAAACUUCACAGUCAUAAUGGCCUGAUCGUAGUGCCAGGGAUGCAACAAACAUAUAUGUGCAGAGGGUAUGGGCUGCAGAUGGAGCCUUAGUCUCCAGCUCCAGGUGUUCAGAUCCAUUGUUAAGACCCAGACUGUGUUGGAAACAUCUGUUGGUACAGUGAUAGAAAUGCAUGUUUCUUUCUUUCUGUGUUAGCUGCAACUUAAGCACAGAUGUGCACAGAUUGUUCUGGUGUUUUUCUCCAUUCGAGCAAGUGAUGUGGUGUGUGAUUUUGGUGUGUGUUUAAUAUUCCCCAUCAUUUUUCCUCCCACUUCUGCUCUUUUUUUGCACUAUUUGUAGAAAUAACCACCUGAACUGCUGUCCUGUGACCUGCAGGUAACUCAAUACAAAGUGAGACAAGCCCUGAUUAGUAAGACUUGCUAAGUUGUCACGUUUUUAAUACCUGGUAAUUACCAUGUGAGAUUUUUUGCAGUAGUACAUACUGACCCCUCACUUGGCAGAAGUGAGCUGUUCUGACUCUUGAGGUGAAUUCUCCACUUUUGUGCAGUUUUUGUUUUGUAAUACUAACCCUGAGUCUUACCUCUGCUCUUCAUCCUUUGAAAAUCAUAAAAGUUGUAAAAAAUAUGAACAACUAUUAAUAAUACUAAGCUUAACAUUGUGAACAAUUUCAUUUCUUCUUUAGACUGAAUAUAAAAUCAAAUGUUGUAAGUUUAAAUGUCACAGACUUACUGUAAAAGGAAACUAGGGUAUUGUUUUUCCUCCUCAUCAGCUGAAUUUCACAGUAGGCCACAUCUGAGUGAUCACAGUUAAGAAAUCUAGCAUUAGAACAAGAAAGAUAUAUCACAGUCAAGUCUAUGUAAGCUUGCUUGUCUCUUUUAUGUGUUAUUUUCCUCUGUCUUUUAAUAUUACCUGUCUAUGAUAUGUGUAGCUGCAAAGCUGAUGAGUUGUAAAGUCAUCUGAAGCAUGAUUCUUCAUGUCUGACAGUGACAUAAUGCUGUGAUAUUUUAGUAUAUAUUGCAUAAAAAUUCAGAUGCAACCAAAGCAGGUUUUUUUAUCUUAAGAAUAUUAGAACUGAAAUACUGAAAUCCUAUCAUAUUUUUUGUCUUCUAAGUACAUCAAGGAAUGUUGGCACUGUAGCAGAGCAAGUAUAUUUGCCUAAUCAUUGCAAAUUUUAAAAUAAUGAAAAUAUUGAAAAUAGCAAAUUAUUAAAAUGAAUUAUCUUCCCUUACAGGAUAAUUUCAUUAUGUAUGAACUCUGACUUAGCCUCCAUCAAACAGCAUAGAGAAGGCUUGAUGUUUCUGAUUAGCCUGACUGACUCUCCCGGAAGUGUUGGUUUCUCCUUUUGAAGGUCCAGCAGCUUUCUGUCACUGAUGGUGCUCCUGUUGUGGUUGACUGUGUUUCAGUGUAUUAUUGAAGAGUCUGGUGGACAUAUAAUUACUGGAGCUGGCAAGCUUCAGCUAGAAGUUUGUCUUAAGAAUCUGGAAGAAGAUCAUGCUUUACUCCAAUUAAGGUAUUCAGCAAUUUUUGAGGACUGCAGUAUAUGGAAUAUGACUAGAUAUUAACCUUUGAAAAUAUAAAAUCUGCUGUUGCUGGUUUCCUUAAAGCAACUUCCUUAAAACAAUUUGAAACUUUUUAAAAGAGGAGAGCUGUAUAAGUAGUGACAGGAAUUUUUUAAUAUAUUAAUGAAAGAGCUUAGAAUUAGUAUGUAGAUUUGAAGAUGCAGCCAACAGGAAAACUAACUAGAAAUAAUGAUGGCAACCAUAGAUGUACUGCUGGAAAAGUUGUUUCUCUUGUUAGAGUUAGUAGAAUAGUCUGUGCAACCAAGAACACAUGGAGAGGAGAACACAAAAGAUAACACUUUUAUCUGAUACUGAUAUACAAUCCAUAAAAAGACCACUGUAGGAUAAAGGAGAUUAAGAAUUCUGAUUUUAUCAGCUCAAUGUUGUCUCUUCCCAUCUUCAGAUCAUUGUUUGAAGUUGACUGCUUUUCUGGCCCUCAACUCAUUGGCCUUUCCUGCCAGCAGAGGGUGCCAAAAGAACGUGUGGCAUCUGCAAAUUAAGACUCCAGUGUUGAACUGGCUCUGUACCCACUGUUUUGAAUUAAGGUCUUCCUCCGAAGCAGGUUGGAUAGAAGAACUUGUUUGUUGAGGCAGCAUGCAGGAUAAUUUGGUAUUUGUUUGAAUGUGUAAGAGAAGGAUGGAGAAUGGGCCUGAACAGAUUAGAUGGCUUUCCAUGUCCUCACCAGUCUUAUGGCUACCAUUGAAACAGCACGUGGCCCUUCCUGCAUUGCCACCAAACCACCGUAUGAGUGUGCUACAGAGCCCUUCCUCUGGCCUUGUUUUUUGUGUGUCUCUUUUUCCUUUCUCCCAGUUAUAAAAAUCUUCAAAAGCAUUCUGUAAUAGCAAAUGAAACAACUGAAUGCCUCUUUUUGUGUCCCUCCAAUCUAUUAGCUUCAGCUGAUGCUUCCUUCAUAUCAGAAAUGAGCAUGAACCAUUGAUCUUUAUGCGCUGGGUUGGUGUGGUUUUAUUUUCAGCCCCCAGCUGUAUCCUUCCUGAUACACUGCUGCCCCUUUCUUCGCAUCUUUGCAUGGAAGCUUUGACCAGAUGUGUUCUUCUUCUCUGAACCUUUUUUCAGUUCUGCAGAAACUGCUGCAGUAAAAAGAAAACCACAGCUACACUCAGCAUUCAAGGUGCAGGCUUUCACUGGUCAUGUUUUGUUUUCUGUGCCUUACCUUUGACUGCUUCUGGACAUGGAAUGCUCUUAUACUGCUUGCUGUAAUGCUAGGAUUUCACAGUGAGUGGUAGUGAUCAGGCCUUGUUACAUGUGAAAUACAAUCUACCUGUACAUUCUUUAAUCAUGCAAAUUGUCUUUCAUAUGCUAUUCUAUUGCCUGUUUUUUGGUCACACCAAGUCCUUCUGCAGUUUUGCAGAAUUGGUCUCAUUUUUACCUGCCUGAAAUAGUUGCUAGGAAAGUAGCAGUUUGCCAACACUGCCUUAUUCAGGUUCUGAUAGAGUUAGGGUGCAGAACUUCACAAUAAGCCGUAACUUUUCUACUGCAGAGCCAUCCCCUUCUUUUCUCUUUCCUUUCCCAUUAUGUUUUACCACUGACUUGAGAUCCUGCACUGGUGGCCAGGCUUUUCCACAGUGAACCUCUGAUCACUGCAGAUUUUGCCUGAAGGUCCUUAUGGUGCCAAUUCUUACUCAUGGCUGAAAGACGUAAGUGCACAGGCUUGAAGGAGGGCGUUCCACCUCCAGAUAACUUUGUAGAUUAGCUGUAGUCAUGUGUUUCAUGUGGAGGGACAUGCUGGAAUUGCCCUGGGACCCCCAGUCUCCACCCAAUAUUCUUGCAGGGCUAUUUACAUCAUGUAUACAUCCCUUCAGCCAGUUCAGCGAUCUCACACCUCACCUCACAAUUAAGACCACAAACAGCACCAUCAGUAAAGUUUUAAGCAGUUUAUUCACAAGGGCUCUCGAGCCUCCCCCCACUCCUAGCUCAUUUACUGUGCAAUUGUGAUGCAGAGAGCACCGACCAGCUGCAAGCCAUUAAAAAACACUUCAUGAGCAGCGUGGCUUUAUUAGAAAUAAAUCAUGCUAAAAACUGAUCCUUAACAGAUACAAAAAAUUAACAGGUAAGGAAAGGAGAAGAAAAUGGAUGUAAUAUUAAGACCAAUGGGUGAAUUGAGGAUUGGUGUGAAAGAUGAUACAAAAAAGGCAAUGACAAACAGCAGUGCGGCGUUAAAAAUGAGAGUACAGAGCAGACAAGAGGUACAGUACAUCCUGCUUCAACAUUUCUUAUCCAUAUGCUUAGUUCAAAUACUGUAACAGUACUGGAAGGCAAAAAAGCACCAGACAUUUGAUGAAAGAAAGAAAGCAUGAAACAAAAUUAGGGAAAAAUGAAUGCUGGAAGUAGGGAAAGAGUAAUCUCAAAUACAGUUACUCAACAGAGAAACAACACUUGGAAAAGUUGCUAUGUCAACAUAUACAGACAAUACCAUUAUUCCAGCAGUACGGAAAUGAUUUUCCUGGUCUGUAACCUCUUCCACGUACAGCACUGCCUGCGUUAUCCCCAGAAACGUGCCGGGCCAUGCCCCACACGCUGAACAAGGCAGCACAGCAGAAGAGGAGGUUAUUUCCAUCUGAUAACGCGGCCUUCUGGUCAUGGCAGUUCUAUGGUGGGACAAAGCAUCAUUCAGCCGUGAACGUAUGAGGGCUGCUCCAAAAGUAAUGCCUCCUAUUUCAUGUUGUCAGCCCACAAAGUCAGAGGCAGAUGAUGGUGGUACGGCAAGUAGAUGCUGAACUUUCUCAUCAAUAUUCCAUUUUGUCAUCAUGCAACAGAUGGCAGCAAAGGGGCAGUCCAACCGAAUAGCAUCUGACAUGGAAGUGUUUAUGAAGCAAAGAUGUGAAACUGAAUUCUUACAUGUUAAAAAAAAAAAGACACCCACUGAUGUUCAUUUAUGAGCACGGCUAGGGCACUAAUUCAUCACUGGUGAAAAUACAGAGCUAACUAACAGUAGUGAAUAGCUGAAAAAGUGUUUUGUAGCUGAGACUAUGCUCUAUUCAAAUAGCGUUACUGUGUCUUCAUAUCUGUUGUCAUUUCCAUGGAAAUAAUAGGAAGCAUUACUUUCAGAGCAACCUCCGUAGUUCGAGUCGAGUGGGAGCAGUAUGCAGCUCAGCUGUUUUGCUCCAAGAAAAAAUACUUACAACAUGGCAAGCCAGACUGCAGUAUGCCCUAGCAGAAUGCGGCCGUUGCAAAGGUGUGGGUAGAAAACAAUUCUGCACUGGAGAAAUCAGCAAUGUGCUCUCUCCUUACAAGUGUCAUAGAAAGCGGGCAGCUCACUGGCGCAUUAAGGGCAGAGCUGGUGGUGGCAAAGAAAGACACCAGGUACUUUAAAGCAAGGAAAAACUUUGUUAUCUUUUGAAGUUAUCAAAUCAGAACUCAGCUAUGUCCCAACUGUGCAUAGUUUGGGGGUUUUGGUGGUGGGAGAAGUGUCCCACUCUAACAUGGCAGCACAGAGAAGUUGUAUAAUGCAAGGUUUGCAUAGAUAGCUUGCCCAUCCCCAGCUCAAAAAACAUUAAGAAGUCACAGUUAGGAGUGUUAAGUUUGUGAAGAACAUGAAAUCUAAAGAAAAAAAACUCCACUUAUAGCCCCUUCCCAUCCAUCCCAGACAAGGGGAAAGUGGGGAUCACAAAACAUAAAAGUGAAGUCAUGGCUAUUUCACAAAGCUUCAUUGUCUUAAAUGAAGUUUAUUACCGGCCCCAGUGAAAAUAUUAAAAAUUCACCAUCUAUCUUUGCA
This is a non-coding RNA of Phasianus colchicus (ring-necked pheasant), 7121 nucleotides long. Lineage: Eukaryota; Metazoa; Chordata; Aves; Galliformes; Phasianidae. The record is from RefSeq and is a predicted model, not a curated record.